AGCAGCCGCGGUAAUUCCAGCUCCAAUAGCGUAUAUUAAAGUUGUUGCAGUUAAAAAGCUCGUAGUUGAAUUUCGGGGUUAGUAGGUUGGUCAUGCCUCUGGUAUGUACUGGUCUCACUGAUUCCUCCUUCCUGAUGAACCGUAAUGCCAUUAAUUUGGUGUUGCGGGAAUUUGGACUGUUACUUUGAAAAAAUUAGAGUGUUUAAAGCAAGCUAACGCUUGAAUACAUUAGCAUGGAAUAAUGAAAUAGGACGUUCGAUCCUAUUUUGUUGGUUUCUAGGAUUGACGUAAUGAUUAAUAGGGAUAGUUGGGGGCAUUAGUAUUCAAUUGUCAGAGGUGAAAUUCUUGGAUUUAUUGAAGACUAACUACUGCGAAAGCAUUUGCCAAGGAUGUUUUCAUUAAUCAAGAACGAAAGUUAGGGGAUCGAAGACGAUCAGAUACCGUCGUAGUCUUAACCAUAAACUAUGCCGACUAGGGAUCGGAUGAUGUUAAUUUUUAAUGACUCAUUCGGCGCCUUACG
RNAcentral lists this ribosomal RNA (520 nucleotides) under uncultured Glomus. Its description in RNAcentral is "SSU rRNA". It matches the Rfam family "Eukaryotic small subunit ribosomal RNA", at positions 569 to 1092 of the family's 1831-position model. The record is from RNAcentral. Lineage: Eukaryota; Fungi; Glomeromycota; Glomeromycetes; Glomerales; Glomeraceae.